GGCCUUCUGGGUUGAAACUGCUUUUGUCAGGGGAUAAAAAGCUCGUGCGCGAGAAAUUGAAUGUACCUGGCGAAUAAGCCACGGCUAACUACGUGCCAGCAGCCGCGGUAAUACGUAGGUGGCAAGCGUUGUCCGGAUUUAUUGGGUUUAAAGGGUGCGUAGGCGGUCCUGUAAGUCAGUGGUGAAAUACGGCAGCUCAACUGUCGAGGUGCCAUUGAUACUGCGGGACUUGAGUGUUGAUGAGGUAGGCGGAAUUGACGGUGUAGCGGGUGAAAUGCUUAGAUAUCGUCAAGAACACCGAUAGCGAAGGCAGCUUACCAAGCAGCAACUGACGCUUGAGGCACGAAAGUGUGGGGAUCAAACAGGAUUAGAUACCCUGGUAGUCC
Molecule: ribosomal RNA, 386 nt
Filed under: uncultured bacterium
Lineage: Bacteria
Description: bacterial SSU rRNA
Rfam family: Bacterial small subunit ribosomal RNA
Source: RNAcentral